This 240-nucleotide unclassified non-coding RNA is filed under the name soil metagenome. RNAcentral describes it as "partial contains 5.8S ribosomal RNA, internal transcribed spacer 2, and large subunit ribosomal RNA". The record is from RNAcentral.
AACCAUAGAAACCUGCGGAGUACCUGCGGAAGGAUCAUUACAGAGUUGCAAAACUCCCACAAACCACCGCGAAUCUUACCCGUACGGUUGCCUCGGCGCUGGCGGUCCGGAAGGCCCUCGGGCCCCCGGACCCUCGGGUCCCCCGCUCGCGGGGGGCUGCCCGCCGGAGUGCCGAAACCAAACUCUUGAUAUUUUAUGUCUCUCUGAGUAAACUUUUAAAUAAGUCAAAACUUUCAACAA